Cervus elaphus (red deer) is the source of this 264-nucleotide long non-coding RNA. RefSeq lists it as uncharacterized. The transcript has 3 exons. Lineage: Eukaryota; Metazoa; Chordata; Mammalia; Artiodactyla; Cervidae. The record is from RefSeq and is a predicted model, not a curated record.
GGGGCAUUCCCUGAGGUCCUUUUCUACCCUCAGAGGUUACCUGGCAGCGCUGGUGUUCAGGGGAUAAAAAUCAGAGAGUGAUUCUCCUAGUCACCCUUGGCCUUCUAUCCACCCAGCAAAACAGAAGCCAUCAUCAUGGAGAGGCUGAGGAAGCCAAUGACACCUACUGACUCAGCCUUAUCCCCUGAUGGAGACAAGUCCUUCAAGAAACUGAGACAGGGGUUCAAUCCUUGGGCCAAGAAGAUCCCACAUGCCUGAAGCAAC